CCUGCCCCCACAGUAGAGGUGCUGGGGAUGUAGCUGCUGUGUCACAUGUGUGACAGUGAGUGGCUGAGAUGAGAGAGGCCAUGCCCACACUCAGUGUGCUGACCUGUGGGCACCAGAAUGAUGAGUAGUCUAGCCUA
This is a small nucleolar RNA of Grammomys surdaster, 137 nucleotides long. RefSeq annotates it as small nucleolar RNA SNORA17. NCBI's taxonomy places the organism in Eukaryota, Metazoa, Chordata, Mammalia, Rodentia, Muridae. The record is from RefSeq and is a predicted model, not a curated record. The transcript has a single exon.